RNAcentral lists this ribosomal RNA (403 nucleotides) under uncultured bacterium. RNAcentral's name for it is "bacterial SSU rRNA". It matches the Rfam family "Bacterial small subunit ribosomal RNA", at positions 355 to 774 of the family's 1533-position model. The record is from RNAcentral.
UGAGGGAUAUUGGUCAAUGGGCGCAAGCCUGAACCAGCGACGCCGCGUGGGUGAAGAAGGUCUUCGGAUCGUAAAGCCCUUUUCCCACUGAAGAGGAAGGUCGGUAGGUGGGGAAGAAGUCUCGGCUAACUACGUGCCAGCAGCCGCGGUAAAACGUAGGAGACAAGCGUUAUCCGGAGUUACUGGGCGUAAAGGGCGUGCAGGUGGCGUCUUAAGUCUGUUGUGAAAGCGCCUGGCUUAACCGGGCGAGGCCAAUGGAGACUGAGAGGCUGGAGGACGGCGGAGNGGUGUGGAAUUCCGGGUGUAGUGGUGAAAUGCGUAGAGAUCCGGAGGAACACCAGAGGCGAAGGCGGCACUCUAAGCCGUACCUGACACUGAGACGCGACAGCACGGGGAGCAAACG